UGACUUUGGUAUGACCGUGUCAUCGAUGU
Molecule: small RNA, 29 nt
Filed under: Bombyx mori (domestic silkworm)
Lineage: Eukaryota; Metazoa; Arthropoda; Insecta; Lepidoptera; Bombycidae
Description: ovarian small RNA-32087
Source: RNAcentral